RNAcentral lists this ribosomal RNA (429 nucleotides) under Bacteroidota bacterium. Its description in RNAcentral is "Bacteroidetes bacterium partial 16S ribosomal RNA". It matches the Rfam family "Bacterial small subunit ribosomal RNA", at positions 355 to 776 of the family's 1533-position model. Lineage: Bacteria; Pseudomonadati; Bacteroidota. The record is from RNAcentral.
UAGGGAAUCUUCGGCAAUGGGGGGAACCCUGACCGAGCAACGCCGCGUGAGUGAAGAAGGUUUUCGGAUCGUAAAGCUCUGUUGUUAAGGAAGAACGAGUGUGAGAAUGGAAAGUUCAUGCUGUGACGGUACUUAACCAGACAGGGACGGCUAACUACGUGCCAGCAGCCGCGGUAAUACGUAGGUCCCGAGCGUUGUCCGGAUUUAUUGGGCGUAAAGCGAGCGCAGGCGGUUAGAAAAGUCUGAAGUGAAAGGCAGUGGCUCAACCAUUGUAGGCUUUGGAAACUGUUUAAAUUGAGUGCAGAAGGGGAGAGUGGAAUUCCAUGUGUAGCGGUGAAAUGCGUAGAUAUAUGGAGGAACACCGGUGGCGAAAGCGGCUCUCUGGUCUGUAACUGACGCUGAGGCUCGAAAGCGUGGGGAGCGAACAGG